Long non-coding RNA from Chelmon rostratus (copperband butterflyfish), 581 nucleotides. RefSeq lists it as uncharacterized. Lineage: Eukaryota; Metazoa; Chordata; Actinopteri; Chaetodontiformes; Chaetodontidae. The record is from RefSeq and is a predicted model, not a curated record. The transcript has 3 exons.
ACAAGCAGGCCCACCUUUUAGCAAGCAGACCCCAAGCAGAGCUCUGGUGAAAAUGCUUCAAAUCUCUUCCAUUCACAAUUUCCUAACCUUGCCUUUAUUUUUACUAUUUUUACUAUUUUUUAGGGACGUGCUGACGUGCUGAGCUGCUGUGUCUGUCUGAAGUCUGCUGCGCUGCCACAUCGUGAUGGACAGAGGCCAUGUGAUGUUUCUUCCAUCUCAUUUCUUUGAGGAGGAGGAAAAAUGUGAUGUGCGCUAAAAGUGGGGCAAAGUGAUUCAGCACUUUCAGCACCGUGGACAGCUCCAGGCACUUGAUGUGGACAGAUGGAGGCUGUGGCCACUUUCCUCCCUCAGCCUGAGACUGACACAUUCCUCUCCAUAAGACAUGAAGACAAAGUUCAAUCCAUUCCUCAAAUGUUUGCUCUUGAGUUGUAGGUUUUUUUUCAGCCUCUAAACUCUUGAGAUCCAGAGUAUUAUUCUUCUGUUCGCCUCAUGCAAACCACAUCAACAUGGAGAGAAAUGCAAAGCGGAGGAAAAACUUCAUCCUUCACUGCCAGCCAAUAUUUUCUGUUUAUUCAUUGUUU